AGAGUUUGAUCCUGGCUCAGGACGAACGCUGGCGGCGUGCUUAACACAUGCAAGUGGUGCGACGAACCAGGGCUUGCCCUGGGGCUAAGCCGCGAACGGGUGAGUAACACGUGAGUAAUCUGCCCCGAUGACCGGGACAACCCGAGGAAACUCGGGCUAAUACCGGAUGUGGUGCACGGGUAUAAGCCUGUGUACUAAAGGAAGCUUCGGCCUCCGCAUUGGGAGGAGCUCGCGGCCCAUUAGCUUGUUGGUGGGGUAACGGCCUACCAAGGCAACGAUGGGUAGCUGGUCUGAGAGGACGAUCAGCCACACUGGGACUGAGACACGGCCCAGACUCCUACGGGAGGCAGCAGUGGGGAAUCUUGCGCAAUGCGCGAAAGCGUGACGCAGCAACGCCGCGUGGGGGAAGACGGCCUUCGGGUUGUAAACCCCUUUCAGGAGGGACGAAGGUUCACCGGUUAAUAGCCGUGUGGAUUGACGGUACCUCCACAAGAAGCUCCGGCUAACUACGUGCCAGCAGCCGCGGUAAUACGUAGGGAGCAAGCGUUGUCCGGAAUCAUUGGGCGUAAAGCGCGCGUAG
Molecule: ribosomal RNA, 580 nt
Filed under: uncultured Actinomycetes bacterium
Lineage: Bacteria; Bacillati; Actinomycetota; Actinomycetes
Description: bacterial SSU rRNA
Rfam family: Bacterial small subunit ribosomal RNA
Source: RNAcentral